This 460-nucleotide ribosomal RNA is filed under the name uncultured bacterium. Its description in RNAcentral is "partial 16S ribosomal RNA". It matches the Rfam family "Bacterial small subunit ribosomal RNA", at positions 338 to 795 of the family's 1533-position model. The record is from RNAcentral.
CCUACGGUCGGCAGCAGUGAGGAAUAUUGGUCAAUGGGCGCGAGCCUGAACCAGCCAAGUAGCGUGAAGGAUGACUGCCCUACGGGUGUUAAACUUCUUUUAUAAGGGAGUAAAGUGAGGCACGUGUGCCUUUUUCUAUUUACUUUAUGAAUAAGGAUCGGCUAACUCCGUUCCAGCAGCCGCGGUAAUACGGAGGAUCCGAGCGUUAUCCGGAUUUAUUGGGUUUAAAGGGAGAGUAGAUGGGUUGUUAAGUCAGUUGUGAAAGUUUGCGGCUCAACCGUAAGAUUGCAAAUGAUACUGGCAGCCUUGAGUACAGUUGAGGUAGGCGGAAUUCGUGGUGUAGCGGUGAAAUGCUUAGAUAUCACGAAGAACUCCGAUUGCGAAGGCAGCGUACUAAAAUGCAACAGACAUUGAGGCCCGAAAGUGUGGGUAUCAAACAGGAUUAGAUACCCGUGUAGUC